This 134-nucleotide ribosomal RNA is filed under the name uncultured eukaryote. RNAcentral describes it as "partial 18S ribosomal RNA". It matches the Rfam family "Eukaryotic small subunit ribosomal RNA", at positions 1527 to 1660 of the family's 1831-position model. The record is from RNAcentral.
CCUGUGCCGGAAGGCAUGGGAAAUCUUGUGAAACUCCAUCGUGCUGGGGAUAGACCAUUGCAAUUAUUGGUCUUCAACGAGGAAUUCCUAGUAAGCGCAAGUCAUCAGCUUGCGUUGAUUACGUCCCUGCCCUU